UACUAGUGGUCCAAGUCGCAACCACGUUUAUUGGGUCUAAAACAUCCGUAGCUUGUUUAAUAAGUUCUUUGUGAAAUCCUACGUCUCAAGCGUAGGGCGUGCAGAGAAUACUGUUAGGCUAGAGAUUGGUAGGCGUAAGAAGUAUGCUCAAGGUAAUGGUUAAAUAUGUUAAUCUUGAGUAGACUAACAAUUAGCGAAGGCAUCUUACGAGGACAAAUCUGACAGUGAGGGAUGAAGGCCAGGGGCGCAAAACGGAUUAGAUACCCCCGUA
RNAcentral lists this ribosomal RNA (271 nucleotides) under uncultured prokaryote. Its description in RNAcentral is "partial 16S ribosomal RNA". It matches the Rfam family "Archaeal small subunit ribosomal RNA", at positions 474 to 743 of the family's 1478-position model. The record is from RNAcentral.